Molecule: ribosomal RNA, 1211 nt
Filed under: Raivuna sinica
Lineage: Eukaryota; Metazoa; Arthropoda; Insecta; Hemiptera; Dictyopharidae
Description: 16S ribosomal RNA
Rfam family: Archaeal large subunit ribosomal RNA (bases 987-1144)
Source: RNAcentral
UAACUUUUUUUUUUUUUUUUUUUUUUUUUUUUUUUUUUUAAAGUUAUUUUUUAGUCAUUUCUUUCUUUUUUUUUGAUUUUUUCAAGAAUAGUUUAUUUGUACUGUGUAGGAUUAUUAAUUUUAUUGUAGAAUAAUAAUUUUUUUUAGUACCUUUUGUAUCAGGGUAAAUUAAAUUUUAAAAUUUAUUUUUUUUUCUCGAAAAUUUAAGAUUUAUCUAAUUUUGAAUUUUAAUGUUGCAAAAUUAUUUAGAAAAAUUAGAUAGAUUUGAAAUGAAAUUCGUUUAAUUUUAUAUCUAGUUAUUAUUUAAUUUGAUUAAAUCAAGGAAUUUUAUUUAUUUACUUCUUUUAUUAUUUAUAUAUUAAUUUCUAAAAUUAAGGUGGAUAAGCUCUUUAUUUUUAUAUAAUUAAAAAAAUUUUUUUUUUUGUUGGAUUAGAUUCUUUUAUCAUUUAAAGUUCGUUAAAGAUUAAAUAUUUUUUUUUUUAUUAUUUAUUUUUUUAAAUAAUUUUUUUAUUUAAUUUUUUUUAUUUUAAAAAUGAUUUAAUUAGUAAAAUUAAAAUUUAUUUUUAUGAAUUAGGCAAAUUUAAUUUUCGCCUGUUUAACAAAAACAUCUCUUUUUGAUUUUAUUUAAGGUUUAACCUGCUCAAUGAAGUUUAAAUAGCCGCGGUAAAUUAACUGUGCUAAGGUAGCAUAAUAAUUAGUCUUUUAAUUGAGGUCUGGAAUGAAUGGUUGAACGAAAAAUUUACUUUAUUUUUUGUAUUUUUUUGAAUUUUAUUUUUUAGUUAAAAAGCUUAAAUGAUAAAGAGGGACGAUAAGACCCUAUAGAUCUUAAAUUUAUUAAUUUAUUUAAUUUUUUUUGUUGUUUUUGAUUAUUUAUUUUAAUUAAUUUUAGUUGGGGCGAUGAAUAAAAUUUUAAUCUUUUUUUUUUUUUUACAUUAUGUUUGGAUAUUUGAUCUUUUUUUUUGAUUAAAAGAUAAAGAUACCUUAGGGAUAACAGCGUUAUUUAAUUGGAGAGUUCUUAUUGAUAAUUAAGUUUGCGACCUCGAUGUUGGAUUAAUAAUUUCUGUGGGGUAGGUUUCACAGUUUUAGGUCUGUUCGACCUUUAAAAUUUUACAUGAUCUGAGUUCAAACCGGUGUGAGCCAGGUUGGUUUCUAUCUUCUUUUUAAUAAUUCCAAUUGGUACGAAAGGAUUUUUGGAAAUAUAAAAUUUAUUA